UACGGAGGGGACUAGCGUUGUUCGGAAUUACUGGGCGUAAAGCGCACGUAGGCGGUUUUGUAAGUCAGGGGUGAAAUCCCGGGGCUCAACCUCGGAACUGCCUUUGAUACUGCAAAUCUCGAGUCCGGAAGAGGUGAGUGGAAUUCCUAGUGUAGAGGUGAAAUUCGUAGAUAUUCGCAAGAACACCAGUGGCGAAGGCGGCUCACUGGCCCGGUACUGACGCUGAGGUGCGAAGGCGUGGGGAGCAAACAGG
RNAcentral lists this ribosomal RNA (253 nucleotides) under uncultured bacterium. Its description in RNAcentral is "partial 16S ribosomal RNA". It matches the Rfam family "Bacterial small subunit ribosomal RNA", at positions 524 to 776 of the family's 1533-position model. The record is from RNAcentral.